RNAcentral lists this unclassified non-coding RNA (151 nucleotides) under soil metagenome. Its description in RNAcentral is "partial internal transcribed spacer 1". The record is from RNAcentral.
CAGGAAUCGCAAGACUCCCUGAAACCCUCGCGAACCUACCUACACGUUGCCUCGGCGGGCGCCUGGCCUUCGCGCCGGGCGCUGAGCCCGCCGGCGGCCUACCACUCUGUCUCUGCAGCGUUGCCUCUCUGAGUACUUUAGAAACGCAUCA